RNAcentral lists this ribosomal RNA (477 nucleotides) under Candidatus Scalindua marina (nom. nud.). RNAcentral's name for it is "bacterial SSU rRNA". It matches the Rfam family "Bacterial small subunit ribosomal RNA", at positions 365 to 832 of the family's 1533-position model. RNAcentral also lists the same sequence under 1 other name. Lineage: Bacteria; Pseudomonadati; Planctomycetota; Candidatus Brocadiia; Candidatus Brocadiales; Candidatus Scalinduaceae. The record is from RNAcentral.
UUCGCAAUGCCCGAAAGGGUGACGAAGCGACGCCGCGUGGGUGAGGAAGGCCCUCGGGUUGUAAAGCCCUGUCAGGAGUUAAGAAAUGUAGAUACGCUAAUAUCGUAUCUAUUUGACAAAGGCUCCAAAGGAAGCCACGGCUAACUCUGUGCCAGCAGCCGCGGUAAUACAGAGGUGGCAAGCGUUGUUCGGUAUUAUUGGGCGUAAAGAGCACGUAGGUGGUUUUGUAAGUCAGAUGUGAAAGCCUUCUGUUCAAAGGAAGAACGGCAUCUGAAACUGCGAAUCUUGAGUGUAGGAGGGGAGAGUGGAACUUCUGGUGGAGCGGUGAAAUGCGUAGAUAUCAGAAGGAACGUCGGCGGCGAAAGCGACUCUCUGGCCUAUUACUGACACUGAGUGUGCGAAAGUUAGGGGAGCAAACGGGAUUAGAUACCCCGGUAGUCCUAACUGUAAACGAUGGGCACUAAGUAGAGGGGUUUU